UACGUAGGGUCCGAGCGUUGUCCGGAGUUACUGGGCGUAAAGGGCGCGCAGGUGGCGGUGUUGGCCCGGCGUGAAAGCCCCCGGCUCAACCGGGGAGGGUCGUCGGGGACCGCACCGCUUGAGGGCGGUAGGGGCUGGUGGAAUGCCUGGUGUAGUGGUGAAAUGCGUAGAGAUCAGGCGGAACACCCGUAGCGAAGGCGGCCAGCUGGGCCGUCCCUGACACUGAGGCGCGAAGGCGUGGGGAGCGAACAGG
RNAcentral lists this ribosomal RNA (253 nucleotides) under uncultured bacterium. Its description in RNAcentral is "partial 16S ribosomal RNA". It matches the Rfam family "Bacterial small subunit ribosomal RNA", at positions 524 to 776 of the family's 1533-position model. The record is from RNAcentral.